RNAcentral lists this long non-coding RNA (239 nucleotides) under Elaeis guineensis (African oil palm). RNAcentral's name for it is "long non-coding RNA (EGUI_LNC026787)". Lineage: Eukaryota; Viridiplantae; Streptophyta; Magnoliopsida; Arecales; Arecaceae. The record is from RNAcentral.
GGCUUUCGGGCCGAUGGCCCCAUUCUUCGGGCAGCGAGGGGCGACCUUGAGCACUGGCGUGUCUUCUCCUCCUUCGCAGGCGAGUGCUCCUUAUUCAGCAUCUUCUUUCCUCCCCCCAAGGAGAACCAAUGGGGGCCUCAUCCUCUGUGAAGGCCUUUUCUAUGUGGGUGUUCUUCUCCGCACUAGCUAACAUGUUGGAAAUGUUUCGAGGAUAAGUUUUCACCAAUGACUUCUUCAAG